Molecule: ribosomal RNA, 510 nt
Filed under: uncultured bacterium
Lineage: Bacteria
Description: partial 16S ribosomal RNA
Rfam family: Bacterial small subunit ribosomal RNA
Source: RNAcentral
GACGAACGCUGGCGGCGUGCUUAACACAUGCAAGUCGAACGAAGAGCGAUGGAAGCUUGCUUCUAUCAAUCUUAGUGGCGAACGGGUGAGUAACGCGUAAUCAACCUGCCCUUCAGAGGGGGACAACAGUUGGAAACGACUGCUAAUACCGCAUACGAUCUAAUCUCGGCAUCGAGGAUAGAUGAAAGGUUUCCUCUACAUGUAAGCUAUCACUGACGGAGGGGUUUGCGUCUGAUUAGCUAGUUGGGGGGGUAACGGCCCACCAAGGCGAUGAUCAGUAGCCGGUCUGAGAGGAUGGACGGCCAAAUUUGGACUGAGAACCGGCCCAGACUUCUACGGGGGGCAGCAGUGGGGGAUCUUCCGGAAUGGAGGAAAGGCUGGCGGGGCAACGCCGCGUGAGUGAUGACGGCCUUCGGGUUGUAAAGCUCUGUUAAUCGGGACGAAAGGCCUUCUUGCGAAUAGAGAGAAGGAUUGACGGUACCGGAAUAGAAAGCCACGGCUAACUACGUG